Non-coding RNA from Vicia faba (fava bean), 252 nucleotides. The record is from the annotation of a GenBank genome assembly. NCBI's taxonomy places the organism in Eukaryota, Viridiplantae, Streptophyta, Magnoliopsida, Fabales, Fabaceae.
AUGAAACAGUGCAGUUUGAUAAGAGCUAGCGAAAAAGAAUCAAGCACGAACGUAAAGAAAAGUGGAGACUCGAGGCUUAUCGAUGUUGCGGAGAAUGAAGGUAUUGCGGUUGAAGCGUUGGUGCGUGAAGACGAUGAUGGAAGUGAUGUUGAGGCUCGAAGGUUGGUUAUGGUGAUGAUGGUGGAUUGUUUCUGCAUAAUGAAGGUGAGAGAGAAGUCGCGGAAGGAGUUUUCAAGGAAAAGAGAUUGGUGA